ACAUGGCGAUGCAUUCCACAAGCGGUGCAGUGUUUGUUAGUAUUGUUUUAAACCAGAAUGGGCUUUGGAUAUUCGUCACACCCGUACCUGAAAAAGUAAAGCGUGUUCCUUGAAUCACCAGCCUUCGGGUCAAAGAUGUGUUGAAAAAGAAGGAAGGGGACACACCAGUUGGUGUGGCGUAGCGCCAAGAGGGACUCUGCACGGUUUCCGUUUAUGAAAAACAAGCACCAUGUCACCAUGGUGCUUUUUGUUCUUUGUAGUUUUGCCUUUAGGUCCCUUCAAGCUGGACAUUCCUUAUGAUGAUGUCUUUCUCAGGAAUAUAUUUUGGGAGAUUGGACAAGGGACGGUGAAUGUGUAUGAGACUUUGGCUGGGUAUAAAGGUUAUACUGUCUCAGACUAAAUAUAGCAGAGGCUGCUGUGUCAGAAACCCAGCAGAAAUGCCAUACGUGUGUGUGUAUAUAUAUAUAUAUAUAAAUAUAUAUAUAUAUAUGAUUCACGAUGACACUAAAUGCAACGCGGAUUUCUGACACCUGAAGCAGCGCAGUGAAAAGUAUGGCUCCAGGAAUCUACAACUGAUAACGUCCCUCAGCUUGAAAACAUCCGUGCUUUGUCCUUAUUUUAGUGGGAUAAAAACACUCUUAUCGUGAGCCUUGGGGACAAACGUGACCAAGCCCCAGGCUUUUCUCUUGAGUAUCUUUGGCACUUCUCUUGGCACUGAGACAAUAUUUGGAUACAAGUGAAUGUACAGUAUCUCGUUUUGUAUUUGCCUGUAUUUAUCUGAGCUCUCCCUGUGAACAUGAGCUUUCAUUCUGAUUUUUUAACCACCCCUCAAAGCCCUCGCCCUGGGAAAGCUUCAUCUCUGAGGGCCAGAGACUGUUGCUCAGGGAAUUUAGUCAUAGGACCUGGGCAUCUGAUCCGCAGGUGUCAAGUCGGAUCAGUUCACCUUGUAAGGAAUUUAGACAGUUAACCCAUCAUCCUCAAGUCAGAGGCCAGGUGGAAAGGGGUGGCAGUUGCUUUUCAUGUGCCAGUGCCCCUCAGUUAUAGAAAUAAUGGAAAAUUCACUUUGUACUGAUCUUCCUUCUAAAAAAUUAAUAAGAAAAUCCAAACUUUGCUGAUACUUUCUUAUUUUUAUAAUAGAUUCACAAUAGGCUUUCACUAGACAGCCAACUCCUCUGGGACUCCUGAAUUAUGACAUGAUUAACAAAAUUUGAUUUCAAAGCAGUUGUUUACAACAACGAUUGCGUAGAGUGCAGGACAGCAGCGGGAUGAGGGCCGGGGUGGGUAGUGGCUCCCUGGGGCAGUGAAUUAUCUCCUGCUGUGAUGACCGCUUCCUCCACCGAGACGUUGAGAUGCUACGGAGAAGACCAGAGAGGCCCGGGCCGGUCUGACUCCAGGGAGUUUAUUUGACAAUCGAUUUUGUGUUGAGCUCCCCUUACAUGUUUACACUUUUGGAUUUAGAAUCCAGUAUCAACCCAGCAAGCUCAGCGAUGAAACCAUCUGUCUCUCUCCGACGGAGCCGUGACUGUU
This 1527-nucleotide long non-coding RNA is filed under the name Sus scrofa (pig). RNAcentral describes it as "lncRNA (ENSSSCG00070004502.1)". The record is from RNAcentral. Lineage: Eukaryota; Metazoa; Chordata; Mammalia; Artiodactyla; Suidae.